UCCACAUUUUUUUGAUUUUUUUAUUUUAAUUUUUAUUCCUUUGAUUUUCAUUAAUUCAUAUCAAUUUUAAUAUUGAUCCAAAAAAUAUGAGAGUUUCACCAGAAAAAUUGAAAUAAUUUCCUCUUUCAUAUUCUGAAUUAAAAUUAUUUUUUGGAUCAUUAUUAAUAUUUUUCAUGAUUUAAUUGAUUUUUCAUUUGUUUUUAAUUGUUUAAAAAUAC
RNAcentral lists this long non-coding RNA (218 nucleotides) under Lathyrus oleraceus (garden pea). RNAcentral's name for it is "Pisum sativum (pea) long non-coding RNA (PSAT_LNC001765)". Lineage: Eukaryota; Viridiplantae; Streptophyta; Magnoliopsida; Fabales; Fabaceae. The record is from RNAcentral.